RNAcentral lists this ribosomal RNA (469 nucleotides) under uncultured bacterium. Its description in RNAcentral is "bacterial SSU rRNA". It matches the Rfam family "Bacterial small subunit ribosomal RNA", at positions 335 to 798 of the family's 1533-position model. The record is from RNAcentral.
ACUCCUACGGGAGGCAGCAGUGGGGAAUAUUGCACAAUGGGCGCAAGCCUGAUGCAGCCAUGCCGCGUGUGUGAAGAAGGCCUUGGGUUGUAAAGCACUUUCAGUCGUGAGGAAGGUAGUGUAGUUAAUAGCUGCAGUAUUUGACGUUAGCGACAGAAGAAGCACCGGCUAACUCCGUGCCAGCAGCCGCGGUAAUACGGAGGGUGCGAGCGUUAAUCGGAAUUACGUGGGCGUAAAGCGCAUGCAGGUGGUUGUUAAGUCAGAUGUGAAAGCCCGGGGCGUCAACCUCGGAAUAGCAUUUGAAACUGGCAGACUAGAGUACUGUAGAGGGGGUAGAAUUUCAGGUGUAGCGGUGAAAUGCGUAGAGAUCUGAAGGAAUACCGGUGGCGAAGGCGGCCCCUGGACAGAUACUGACACUCAGAUGCGAAAGCGUGGGAGCAAACAGGAUUAGAUACCCCUGGUAGACUGU